This is a long non-coding RNA of Lolium perenne, 1307 nucleotides long. RefSeq lists it as uncharacterized. NCBI's taxonomy places the organism in Eukaryota, Viridiplantae, Streptophyta, Magnoliopsida, Poales, Poaceae. The record is from RefSeq and is a predicted model, not a curated record.
AAGACGUCCAUAACUCCACCUCCGGAUUAGGGCAAAAACUCCCCCAGUGGAUGCCAUCUCCUCCGCAGCCUCCUUUUCAUCUCUGAUUCGCUGCCGUAACACAGCCCCCGCGCAUCAUCGAUAAAUCUACUGCUGCUCUCGCCUCGCCUCGCCACGCGUGGCGCGUCUCCCCCUGGACGUCAAUGGCCAGUGUUUGAUACUUUGAUCUGCAAUCUAUCUAAAAAAGUGUUCUUUGGAGAGCUGGAGCAUUACAGUGUUCUUUGGAGAGCUGGAGCAUACAUGCAUUAAGGAGGUCAACUGGUCAAGAACGAUGGCAUUCUUAGCAGUACUAAUUAGUGGCUCCAGAGCACUAGACAAGGGGCUUGGAUUCCUAAUGGCAAACACGCGAGUCCUCCUCUCCAAGUGGAAUAAUCUUUUUACAUUAUAAUUCUUAUCUGAUGAAAAUUACUCCAUGAAUACCUGUGAGCAUGUGCCGAUAGUGAUGCACAUACACGCCGGCCGGCCGCGUGCGUGUCUACUUAUGGAGCUUCCGCCAUGCCCGUCAGCUGCAUGGUACCACCGUGAUUCACCACAAACCGUGGCUGCCUGCUGGUCAGACUUGCCGCAAGCCUGCAACGGCACAGAAAUUAUGAACUGCAUAUGCAGCUAUACGUGUACCUCUGCUGAAAUUCCCCAUCACUGAUGUUCGAAAGGAUCAGGGUCCGAUUUUAUACAAAAUGAAUACAAAAACAAAAGGCAAUGGCUCUGGAUCCUGACACCUGACGAGUAGAGUGAAAUUGGAAGUCCUCGGCAGUUUAUUGGUGAGGUCGCGAACGUGGCUUUGGGCUAGAGCUCUUUCCCUGCAGCAAGAUCAUCUUACCUGAUACAUAUCUGACAAGCCAUGCGACGGUGGAUUUGGAUAGCGGACAGGAUGCAUGGGAGAGUAUUAUCCUCCCACAUUAUCUGCCCGCUGUGUGAUCAUGCCCUUGAGACCGUAUGGAUGUUGUGGAAGGAGAGGAACGCCAUGAGUGUUCCAAUGGUCACCCUGACCUAUCAGAUUGGCGUGCAGGAGGAUGCCUAGGAGGUUGAGUUGUGGAAGCUCCCCGGAGAGGCAGAUUGUGUGGCAUCUAGAGAUAGACCAUGUAUAUUUUAGUUGCACAUUGUCUUUUCCUGGUGAGGUAAUCAUCGUUGGCUAACAAUUGAUCCUGGUGAUCUAACCACACCGUGUCCUUCUAAUACAUCACACACAAAGAUUUUCCAUUUUCCAAAAGAAAAAGUAAUGAAUGGGGACCAUCAUAUGUACUACAUUUCUUGAUUAAUAGACAUUU